CCCUCCUCUCUCAAAUGCUCCCAAGGCCAUCUAAAACCCUAGCCACCUCUAGUCACUUUCUGACCUCCUUCCACCGGAAACUAUGACAAUCUAGGCUUAACGCUACCUGCACUCACUCCUCAAUCCAUUCUACAGCCAUGUUGUUCGAGAAUUGAAACCCUAUUGUGAACACCACUGUUAAGAGGUCCAUCGAAUUGAGUUUUACGACCAUGUCCUGUCUUUCUCCUGCAAGCCUUGAUGCUGUGAGUCCUUUGUCGACUUAGAAAUAGUCCGUUCUAAGCCUUUCUCGUGUAUCUAUGGUUCUCUCUCUGAAACCCUAAUUUUCAAGGUUUUCUCUGUGUUUAUCUUUACGAUCUUCUCUAGAUCCUCGUUAUUUUCUAAUAGUUUCUAAGUAUUUCUCACAUUUCUUCACCGACAUUGUUUUCAAACGGUUCAUCUUCCUAAAAUUUAGGGUCUCUUUGAUUUCUUUGCUUUAUUUGCUCUGUCGUGACUUCUUCUAAUUUUACUGUGAUUUCUGAGUAUUUUCUACUAUGGCUAACUGCUUCUGAUUUCUUACUAGCGUGCUUCUGCUCUUUGAUUACAUGAUUGUUCUACCGAUUUCAGUAAUGCAUAUUCGAAUUGGUGCACUUCUUUGUAUAGUCAUAUUUUCCCCCUUUUCUGAAUAACCCUAAUUUUUGGAAAAUUGAUUUCUAACAAACUUAUGUGAUCCUUUAAUUUGGACCUACUCCUUGACUAAGUUCAGUAUCAAUUUGUAUCUCAAAUUCUUUGAUUCUCUAUGUGAUUGACCUGCCUUAUGUGUUAAACCGUGUGAAUUUCCAAACCCUUACACGUAUUUACCCUGUAUUUUAUAAUUUAUUCUUGAUUCUUUUCCCAAAAAUAAACUUGGGUUUAUUACCUCAAGUUAAGUUCCUUAAUUAGAGGGAACCCUUUCCCUAAUUGAUUAUGAUUGAUACUGAGAUUAUUUUCCUGUCUUCUUUACUACUUACUUUCAAGCUAUAAAAACCCAUACCUCUUUUAUUUCAAGGACACGAACAAUUUCAUAAGUUUAUAAUAUACAUUCUCUCUUUUCUUCUCUGCUCUUCUGUGUUACUAAGUUCAUUGUUACUAGGUAUGCUGCUUCUAUUAGCCGGGUGAAAGCCAAGGCUAACUAUAGGAUCCUACUUGUUCUGUUUGUACUUCUGUUUGAAACUUGCAACUGGUAGGUUCCUGAUUUACAUAUUAACUCCAAACUAUAUGUUUACUUACCUCUUCCCCCAUGUAUGUUUAUGUUCAGUGUAUAGUUAAAUUUCAGCAUGCACAUCCCUACACCAUAUUCCCAUGUGUUUAAUUCUGUUAUGUUUGUUAUAAUUAUCUUCCUUCACAUCCUUUUCCACAAAACCCCUAUAGUUUAACUAUGUUCUAUUUUUGUGCAAAUGCUUUCAUAUUUGAUCCACUUCCCCUACCCCUUUUGUAUGUGAGUGUUGUAUCGGACUAGAGUGGCACCCUAUUGCCACCUCUAGUUUGGAACCAUGUUGUUCUCCACCUAUACUCAAAGUAAUCGCACUCCUUUAACCCUCCCCUAUUUAUGUGGUUAGCCUGACCCACGCCUGGUGGUGCCCUAAUCACCAUUCAAACCUGAGUCUGACUUUCUCAACUCUGCUCUUUAUGUGUUUGAGCCAGUAAAAGGUCACUGGUGUGCUAGUCUUGCCCAUGGCUGGGUAUGACCACCCCUUACUUGGCUUUUUCCCCUCAAAUAUCCUUCACCUUUACACUCAUUCUUAGUCUCUCUUAAGUUCUAGCCCCUUUGGUAAGCCAUGCCUUGGGACCCUUAAGCUCCCUCUGAUCUCGGAUGCCUUAAGGCUGGUACUUCCACACUGCAUUAUUCUGUUACUCGAAGCUAUUCAGGUUGCUAAGAAUUGCC
Molecule: long non-coding RNA, 1900 nt
Filed under: Nicotiana benthamiana
Lineage: Eukaryota; Viridiplantae; Streptophyta; Magnoliopsida; Solanales; Solanaceae
Description: long non-coding RNA (NBEN_LNC039548)
Source: RNAcentral